Molecule: ribosomal RNA, 253 nt
Filed under: uncultured bacterium
Lineage: Bacteria
Description: partial 16S ribosomal RNA
Rfam family: Bacterial small subunit ribosomal RNA
Source: RNAcentral
UACGAAGGGGGCUAGCGUUGCUCGGAAUCACUGGGCGUAAAGCGCACGUAGGCGGCUUGUUAAGUCAGGGGUGAAAUCCUGGAGCUCAACUCCAGAACUGCCUUUGAUACUGGCGAGCUUGAGUCCGGGAGAGGUGAGUGGAACUGCGAGUGUAGAGGUGGAAUUCGUAGAUAUUAGGAAGAACACCAGUGGCGAAGGCGGCUCACUGGUCCGGUACUGACGCUGAGGUGCGAAAGCGUGGGGAGCAAACAGG